RNAcentral lists this ribosomal RNA (434 nucleotides) under uncultured bacterium. RNAcentral's name for it is "partial 16S ribosomal RNA". It matches the Rfam family "Bacterial small subunit ribosomal RNA", at positions 29 to 507 of the family's 1533-position model. The record is from RNAcentral.
AGCGAACGCUGGCGGCAGGCCUAACACAUGCAAGUCGAACGAACCUUUCGGGGUUAGUGGCGGACGGGUGAGUAACACGUGGGAACGUGCCUUUAGGUUCGGAAUAACUCAGGGAAACUUGUGCUAAUACCGAAUGUGCCCUUCGGGGGAAAGAUUAAUCGCCGUUAGAGCGGCCCGCGUCUGAUUAGCUAGUUGGUUGAGGUAAUGGCUCACCAAGGCGACGAUCAGUAGCUGGUCUGAGAGGAUGAUCAGCCACAUUGGGACUGAGACACGGCCCAAACUCCUACGGGAGGCAGCAGUGGGGAAUCUUGCGCAAUGGGCGAAAGCCUGACGCAGCCAUGCCGCGUGAAUGAUGAAGGUCUUAGGAUUGUAAAAUUCUUUCACCGGGGACGAUAAUGACGGUACCCGGAGAAGAAGCCCCGGCUAACUUCGUG